CUACGGGUUGCUGCAGUGGGGAAUAUUGGACAAUGGGGGAAACCCUGAUCCAGCAAUGCCGCGUGUGUGAAGAAGGCCUGCGGGUUGUAAAGCACUUUCGGUUGGGAGGACUGCUUCUAGCACUAAUAUUGUUGGAAGUUGACGUUACCUUCAGAAGAAGCACCGGCUAACUCCGUGCCAGCAGCCGCGGUAAUACGGAGGGUGCAAGCGUGAAUCGGAAUUACUGGGCGUAAAGCGCGCGUAGGCGGCUAGAUAAGUCGGGUGUGAAAGCCCCGGGCUUAACCUGGGAACUGCAUCCGAUACUGUCUAGCUUGAGUACAGGAGAGGAGAGUGGAAUUCCACAUGUAGCGGUGAAAUGCGUAGAUAUGUGGAGGAACACCAAUGGCGAAGGCAGCUCUCUGGCCUGAUACUGACGCUGAGGUGCGAAAGCGUGGGGAGCAAACAGGAUUAGAUACCCCAGUAGUC
This 465-nucleotide ribosomal RNA is filed under the name uncultured bacterium. RNAcentral's name for it is "partial 16S ribosomal RNA". It matches the Rfam family "Bacterial small subunit ribosomal RNA", at positions 339 to 795 of the family's 1533-position model. The record is from RNAcentral.